CAGAGGGUGCGAGCGUUAAUCGGAAUUACUGGGCGUAAAGCGCACGUAGUCGGCUUUGCAAGUCGGGUGUGAAAUCCCCGGGCUCAACCUGGGAACUGCAUCCGAGACUGCAUUGCUAGAGUAUGGGAGAGGGAAGCGGAAUUUCUGGUGUAGCAGUGAAGUGCGUAGAUAUCAGAAGGAACAUCAGUGGCGAAGGCGGCUUCCUGGACCAAUACUGACGAUCAGGUGCGAAAGCGUGGGGAGCAAACAGGAUUAGAUACCCUGGUAGUCCACGCCCUAAACGAUGAGAACUGGAUGUCGGGAGGGUUUGCCUUCCGGUGUCGUAGCUAACGCGUUAAGUUCUCCGCCUGGGAAGUACGGCCGCAAGGUUG
This 371-nucleotide ribosomal RNA is filed under the name uncultured organism. RNAcentral's name for it is "bacterial SSU rRNA". It matches the Rfam family "Bacterial small subunit ribosomal RNA", at positions 526 to 896 of the family's 1533-position model. The record is from RNAcentral.